GGCAGCGGCAGCUACACAUGCAGUCGAGGGGUAGAGGGUGCUUGCACCCUUGAGACCGGCGCACGGGUGCGUAACGCGUAUGCAACCUACCUAUUGCAGGGGAAUAGCCCAGGGAAACUUGGAUUAAUGCCCCAUAGUCCAUAUUGAGAGCAUUUGAGAUAUGGUAAAGAUUUAUCGGCAAUAGAUGGGCAUGCGUCCCAUUAGCUAGUUGGUAUGGUAACGGCAUACCAAGGCUACGAUGGGUAGGGGCCCUGAGAGGGGGAUCCCCCACACUGGUACUGAGACACGGACCAGACUCCUACGGGAGGCAGCAGUGAGGAAUAUUGGACAAUGGGCGGGAGCCUGAUCCAGCCAUGCCGCGUGCAGGAAGACUGCCCUAUGGGUUGUAAACUGCUUUUUUACGGGAAGAAACACCCCCACGUGUGGGGGCUUGACGGUACCGUACGAAUAAGGACCGGCUAACUCCGUGCCAGCAGCCGCGGUAAUACGGAGGGUCCGAGCGUUAUCCGGAAUCAUUGGGUUUAAAGGGUCCGUAGGCGGGCGUCUAAGUCAGUGGUGAAAUCUCGCGGCUCAACCGUGAAAUUGCCAUUGAUACUGGUCGCCUUGAAUUAGUGUGAAGUGGCUAGAAUAUGUAGUGUAGCGGUGAAAUGCUUAGAUAUUACAUAGAAUACCGAUUGCGAAGGCAGGUCACUAACACUAUAUUGACGCUGAUGGACGAAAGCGUGGGGAGCGAACAGGAUUAGAUACCCUGGUAGUCCACGCCGUAAACGAUGGAUACUAGCUGUCCGGCCUGCAUUGGUAGGCUGGGUGGCCAAGCGAAAGUGAUAAGUAUCCCACCUGGGGAGUACGUUCGCAAGAAUGAAACUCAAAGGAAUUGACGGGGGCCCGCACAAGCGGUGGAGCAUGUGGUUUAAUUCGAUGAUACGCGAGGAACCUUACCAGGGCUUAAAUGUAGUCUGACAGGGGUGGAAACACCCCCUUCUUCGGACAGACUGCAAGGUGCUGCAUGGUUGUCGUCAGCUCGUGCCGUGAGGUGUCAGGUUAAGUCCUAUAACGAGCGCAACCCCUGUCGUUAGUUGCCAGCAUGUAAAGAUGGGAACUCUAACGAGACUGCCGGUGCAAACCGUGAGGAAGGUGGGGAUGACGUCAAAUCAUCACGGCCCUUACGUCCUGGGCCACACACGUGCUACAAUGGCAGGUACAAUGGGCAGCCACGCCGCAAGGCGGAGCGAAUCCACAAAACCUGUCUCAGUUCGGAUCGGGGUCUGCAACUCGACCCCGUGAAGCUGGAAUCGCUAGUAAUCGGAUAUCAGCCAUGAUCCGGUGAAUACGUUCCCGGGCCUUGUACACACCGCCCGUCAAGCCAUGGAAGCUGGAAGCACCUGAAGUCCGUCACCGCGAGGAGCGGCCUAGGUGAAG
Molecule: ribosomal RNA, 1419 nt
Filed under: Aequorivita sp.
Lineage: Bacteria; Pseudomonadati; Bacteroidota; Flavobacteriia; Flavobacteriales; Flavobacteriaceae
Description: bacterial SSU rRNA
Rfam family: Bacterial small subunit ribosomal RNA
Source: RNAcentral